Molecule: ribosomal RNA, 918 nt
Filed under: Xyleborus declivispinatus
Lineage: Eukaryota; Metazoa; Arthropoda; Insecta; Coleoptera; Curculionidae
Description: partial 28S large subunit ribosomal RNA
Rfam family: Eukaryotic large subunit ribosomal RNA (bases 454-918)
Source: RNAcentral
CGAAGAGUUCUCGCGCGACGAAAAUCGCGUUCUUUUUCGGAACGCGGAUUUCGCGCCCUCCGUCCUUCGAACCGAUCGCGAACGCGUGCACUUUUCUCCUGGUAGGACGUCGCGAUCCGUCGGGCGUCGGUCUACGACUUGCGGUGGAGACCGUACGCGGUGUGUCGCGUCGUCGCCUCUCGGGGCGGCGGCGCGUCGCGUGCGGACCCGCUCGCCUUCCGGCCGACUCGCUCGACGGUAUGACUGUAUGUGGUCGGAGGUCGCUCGAUCGUCGCGUUCUCUCUCUCUCUCUCUCGCUCUCCGUCGUACGUUUACGUGCGGCGGGGGUUUGGGGGGGGGGGGGCUGGCCGACGGGGAAGCGUUCGACUCGUCGCAAGCGCGUCACGUGCGUCGGCACGCGGACUCCGUGCCGCGUCCGUCCUCUGGCGACUGUUGGCGACGAAGUUCUCGGACAGACCUCGCGAUUUUUUCGUUCUCCCAAAAGGAGACGCGGAGAAAUUCGUCGGACCGAUCGGCGACGCUAUAGCUUUGGGUACUUUCAGGACCCGUCUUGAAACACGGACCAAGGAGUCUAGCACGUACGCGAGUCAUUGGGAUUCGUAGCUAAACCUAAAGGCGUAAUGAAAGUGAAGAAAACGCGAAGGCGGCGUUCUCGUCGCCGUCGCGAAUGGGAAGACGGACGAUGGCUUUCCUUCGAACCGGGGGACGAUCGUCGCCUCCGAUCUCGGGGCGCGGCGGUCUCUCUCGGCGGAAUCGAUCGUCCCGCAUUCCCGGGGCGUCUCGUUCGCUCGCGCGUUUCGUGCGCGCGUUCGCGAAGAGGCGCACCACGAGCGUACGCGCUGGGACCCGAAAGAUGGUGAACUAUGCCUGGUCAGGACGAAGUCAGGGGAAACCCUGAUGGAGGUCCGUAGCGAUUCU